CCCUUAGAUGUUCUGGGCGGCCCGCGCACUACAUUGGCACUAGCAAAGAGAUCCUAGAUUGAAUUCUUUGGGGUAUUCUUCUAAAUGGUGUCGUGACUGGGAUAAAUCCUUGUAAUUAUUGGUUUUGAACGAGGAAUUCCUUGUAAUCGCGGUUUAUCAGCUCGCGUUGAGUGCGUCCCUGCCCUUUGUACACACCGCCCGUCGCUCCUACCGAUGGAUCGUCCGGUGAAGCUCACGGAGUGACUGUUCACGCAACGGUUUACGAAGUGAAAUGGACCUCACGAUUUAGAGGAAGGAGAAGUCGUAACA
RNAcentral lists this ribosomal RNA (309 nucleotides) under uncultured eukaryote. RNAcentral describes it as "partial 18S ribosomal RNA". It matches the Rfam family "Eukaryotic small subunit ribosomal RNA", at positions 1470 to 1796 of the family's 1831-position model. The record is from RNAcentral.